CUGCGCCUUCUUUUUUCUUCCUUUCCUUUACACUCUCACAAUUUCUAUUCUAUCUCCGGUGCUCAAGCCUGCAAACAUAUUUUUCAAUGCAGAGGUAAGAUUCAAAUGCAUAAUGCCAGAACUGAUGUAUGGUCUCCUUUCGUUUUCGUUACUUUCACUCAUUUGUUGGGCUUUCAAGCUGCAAAAAGUGAAUAUCUUCUGAGUAAGUAAUUUUUUUUUUCUUUCAUUCUCUUCCCAUAUACCAUGUUAAACUGACUAUUCUUUCUUUUCUUAUUUUUCUUUUUAAGUAGUUUAAUGGAAUUAUUUUUCGGUGAAUGGGAAAUCAAAAUAGCAGGAAGGAAGAAAACCUAAUCUGACAGUCUCCAAAACACAGACGUUUGAAUUCAAAGUGGCCAUUGAAUUUUCUGACAACAUAAGUCAGAUACAAAAUUGUGAACAGAGGCUUUCUCUGUCUGAGAAGAGUGUUGGUUCCUUGAUGCACACUAUAAAUACAUGGAAUUUUACGUAACACAAUCAAAACACUUAGAAUUUUCCAUCGUUAUUCAUAGUUUCUUUGAAGAAAACACAUCUUGCAGAUACAAAUUUUGUUCAAGUUCAAUCGUGGGUUUGGUUCACUCCUUCCAAUUGACAAUGAAUGAAUGAAUGAUGUAGAAUUUUGAGGCUUCUGAGGUCAAGACAUUUAUCUAUGAAUAUUACGCGACAACAAGUGAUGCAUGAUUUAGACACAUAGGAAAAACAAGUUAUAUCAGUUGUUUUUCGCUUCAUUUCAAAGAUGUAAUGAGACAAUAAGUUAUAUCAGUUGAGAGCAUAUGGAAAAGCAACUAUAACAUGUUAAA
This is a long non-coding RNA of Vigna unguiculata (cowpea), 836 nucleotides long. NCBI's taxonomy places the organism in Eukaryota, Viridiplantae, Streptophyta, Magnoliopsida, Fabales, Fabaceae. The record is from RefSeq and is a predicted model, not a curated record.